AAAGAAAGGAAAAGCCCUAAGCUAUUCUUCAGCGGAAAACUCUCCAUCUCCCCCAAAGGUAAUCUAUCUAUUUCGUUGCUUCUAUCUCCCUUCCUCCUACAGAUUCCGAAUCUCUGUUUUCAUUCUUCCACUCUUACUCUCUCCCCGUAUCAUCCGCAAUUCAACCACCUAUUAGAUCUGCGCUUCCUCACUCCUCGCAUCUCUAUCUUUAGGAUCACCAAUUUCUUUGAAUCAGCUGACUAUCUUUCUUUCGAGGCAGACCCAAGUUUUGUUGAAGUUUCACUUGUUGGGUUGUACAUCAGUUGUUCAAAUACUGGAAUCUCUCCUACCAAUUUAACCCAUUUCCAUCUCAAGUGAUUUUGGUUGGUUAUAUCUGGAAUAUGUUUGCCUACAAGGGGGUUUAUGCUUCUUUUAUUUUUAUCAUCAAUUUUGUCUUCUUUGUCCAUUUUGCCUACAUGGGGGUUUAUGCUUCUUUUAUUUUUAUCAUCAAUUUUGUCUUCUUUGUCCAUUUUAUGGGAUGAAUUGACAAGUUUUGGCCUGGAUAUCAGAUUGUGUUUAGUUGCUCUUCGACUUAAUACCGUUAUGCCCUAAAGUUCUCUGCUGGAGUUUCAUGUAGGGUUCAUUGUCUCGACGCGUGGAACGUCUGGACUCUUGUGCUUAAAGUUUAAACAUAAGAACUUCUAAUAUGUUAGGAUGGGCAUGCGGGAUUUAAGAUUUGGAUGCUGGUUUUAUGAUAUUUUCGCCAUGGAACCGUGCUGCAUGGCUGAUUUCUUUAGUUUUUGCUUGCAGAUUAAUUGGUUAUUAUGACACGUCUGUCGUCUGCUAUCUUGCAUAUUAAAUCUUUUUGAAGAUUACUAAUGUGUUAGUAUCCGUACGGUGCAGAAUUAGAGUUUGGUGUUGGAUUAGACUGAUAAAAGACCAAGAAAUUGUGUUGAGCCUCUUAGGUUUUGGAAUAAUGACCAUUGCAGAAAGUGAAGAGGUUGGUUUUAAGCGCAUUGGGCUGUCAGCUAGUGAUUAUGAGGCAAAUAUUCCUAUCAAGAAAAGGAGAUUUCCGGGAGUGCAAUUAACUCCAUCACCAUCUAAAGAUAUAUCUUCAUUCCAUUCAGAUGGAAAUUUAUUGAAGGUGGAGCAGCCAUCUCCACCUAAAGAUGUAUCUUCCUUUAAUCACAAUGAAAAUUUAAUAAAGAGUGAGGAGCCGAUUCUAUCUGUGACAACAGUUUCAAGUUCUAGUGUGGUUACAAGUUGUGCAUUGUCGAACAAUAACCAGGACAGUGUUUCUGAAGAGAAGAAAGGAAAAUCUGAUACGGAUUCAUGCUGCGUGGAUAUAGUCCAAAGCAAUAUUGGAGCAGCAGGAGUCAAGUUUCAAGAACCCAGUUUGGGAAGACAUGCUUGUACUGAUGGUUUUGUUGAAUGUGAAGGUAAGUCAUUGGUAACUGUAGAACAUACCGAUCAUGCAUCACCAGUGAUCUGUGCGGGGUUGAAGUUGUUGUCAACUAGCCUUGACUCUGAUCAUUUUGCUGGUAACAAAGAGGAAGAAAUUGAUGUAAAAAUGCCUGAAGAAAAUUGCAGCCCUCCAAUUUGUCAACUUGGAGGAGCUGGAGUAUUGGUAGGUUUGAAGGGACAUAUGGAUCUGAAACUAGUUUCUGAAAAGAGUGAUUUGAAUUUCCUGAAGCAGAAUUCUAUGGAACCUGUGUUACUAAACUUCGCUUUAAACAAGCAGGGAAGUAGCACCCAAUGUGUCAAAGGUAACGUAGGGUUUGAUUGUGAUGGUUCUUUUUUGCAGUCGAACAGGGAAAAAUGGGAUCUAAAUACUUCAAUGGAAUCAUGGGAGGGUUGUACUAGUGGUGAUGCUCCUGUAGUGCAGAUAUCGGCCACUCGGACAAAUACAACUAUUGAAACUUAUUCUUGCUCAUCUGAAAUGGUUGAAAGUGACAGUCCAUGUGGAAAACAAACCCUUUUAGAUAAUGAAGAUAAAGGUGACUCUACAAAAGAGCAUCUUCAUUUAAGUCUUGAUUCAUCUUAUCUGAAGUCUGUGCUUGAUGAAGACCCUUACAUUUCUGAAUAUGAAUCAGAUGGCAACUGGGAUAUAGCUGAGACUGUUGAUGAUAAUGAUGAUAAUGAUGAUAAUGAUAAUGAUGAUAAUGAUAAUAAUGUAGAAGAAGACUAUGAAGAUGGGGAGGUCCGGGAAACAAUGCAGGAAACUGAAGUAGAGGUCCAUGUAUAUGAGAAAAGAGAAAUUGAGCCUUUGGAUCAUGCUGGUUGUAACGACAAAAAGAUCAAUUCUGUUGGAUUGCUGGAUCAUGAAUUUUUUACUUUAGGCCCUAAGAAACAGGAAACAAAAUUAGAAAAUCUGGAUUAUAGAAGUGAAGAUGAAGAUGAAGUUCAGACCACAACUAAAAGUAAUUCUUAUGAGCAAGAAAAUGAAGAUCUUUGUGUGAAAGAAUUGCAUGCUGUAGAGAAUGCUAUUGGUGAGGAUGUAAACAUAUCUGCGAAGGCCACAGAAAGAAGCCAAUUAUCUCAAUAUGAUAAAAAGGGCAACUUUGAGGGACAGGGCACUGCUGACAAAAUCCUAAAUGAGGAACCGGUUCCUACAUUUUCUCAGAAUGAGGUGGAGAAUGCUGUAGCAGUAGAUGUAGUGCAGAAUAGGGAUCUAACUUUGCCUACUGUAAAGGAAUCUGUAAACGAAGAUAAUGCAAAGGAUAUCAAUGGAGGCACUAGAAAUAGUCGGAUAAUUAAUUUUAAUCGAACAUCUACUGAUUCAACUCCUUGUAAGGCAAAAUCUAAUUUUGCUAAGCCGGUUUUAUCACAUAAGGAUAGAGAGUUUGUACCCAACAUGGUAGUUGAACGAGCAAAUAUGAAACCUCAAGAAAGAGAUGACGUGUACAGUAAUAUUUCCAAGAAAAUUUCUAUAGACAAACGCCAGGGUCCACCACCGUUGAUGGGUUUUAGUCAUAGACGAGGGAGAAAUACUAAUAGGUUGGACAACCGAUCCGAGGAAUGGGAUUUUGGUCCCAACUUUUCUCCUGAAACAUACAGUGAACAACAGAUAGAUUACCAUGUUACUGGUCUUGAUCAAAACCGAUAUAAGAUUAUACCUGAUGGUCCAUUUGGUGGCGCUAACCGUCGUGGUCGAGAAUUGGUAGAGGAUGAGGAACCUUUUUUUUUCCAUGGGCCCUCAAGGAGGAAGUCACCUGGAAGAAGACAUGGGCACAGUGUACGAGGUGGAAAAAUGGUAAACAGAAUGCCUAGAGAUUUUAGUCCAGGUAGAUGCAUGGAUGAAGGUGGCUCUUUUGAUAGACAACAUGGUGAAAAGUUCACUAGGAAUUUUGCUGAUGACACAGUGGAUGAGAUGUAUCCACGACCUCAACCUCCAUAUGAUGUAGACAGACCUUUUUUUCGAGAAAGAAGGAACUUCUCAUUCCAAAGAAAAACUUUUCCCAAAAUUGAUUCUAAAUCUCCAGUAAGAUCCCGAGCUCGUUCUCCCAGCCAAUGGUUCUCUUCAAAAAGAUCUGAUAGGUUUUGUGAACGUCCCAACAUGACACAUCGAAGAUCUCCAAAUUAUAUGACAGACAGGAUGAGAUCUCCUGAUCAGCGUUCUAUACGUGGAUAUAUGCCAGGCCAAAGACAAGGAUUCCGUUACCUUUCACCACCUGAUGAAUUGAGAGAUGUGGGUCCUGCACCUGACCAUGGCCAUAUGAGGCCUUUUAUCCCUAACAGGAAUCAAACUAAAAGAUUACCACUUAGAAACAGAAGCUACGAUGCUAUAGAUCCUCGAGGAAGGAUCGAGAAUGAUGGACUUUUUUAUGGUCCUGUACGUUUGGGUCAAUUGACUGGGUACAAUGGUGGCGAACCAGAUGACGAUGAAAGAAGAUUUAAUGAGAGACAUGAACCUCUUCAUUCUUUUAAGCAUGGAUUUCGUGAUUCUGAUGGUGAGAGAUACCGAAACAAGGGGGAGGAUUGUUCUAGGCCAUUUAGGUUUUGUGCAGAGGAUGACCCAAGAAUUUCAUGGAAGAGAAGGUAGUCAGGGAGAAAGACUGAGUUAAGGAUCUCUACCAAGGGAGUGGAGAAUGCUUUAGACUAGGCCAUUCUGUUAGUUUAAUUUUGAGGUUUUGUAGGUGAUAUUUUAUGGUGCAAAGGGGGCCACUUUUUGUUCUCCUUUGUUUUAUUUCAUAAUUGCAACUGUAAAAAAAUUCCAUUUCUAUGCAGAAAGUAUACCUCUCAAGUGCUAUUGUGACUUCAAACUGACUAAACCACUAUGGAAAUUUUGUUCUCUAAAACGUUAGAAUCUUACUUAUUAUUCUGAUAGAGAAAUUCAGUUGAGAAGGGAAGUAGAUCAAGUGGGGUUGUUUCCCUUUCUAAUCUCCACAAAUGGUUUGCAAUUCUUUUAACAAGUGUUAUUAAUUUGUUCUUUUAAUACCAAUGUAUUCACUGAUUUACUAUUGAAUUUGAUAGCCAUUUCUAGAUCGUUGAAGCGCAAGGGGAGGAUAUCUCUAAGGUAUUCUUUUCUUGGACCAAGUUACAUUCUACUCUUCUAUGCCUUCUGUUACUGUUCUACUUCAGUACUGAAGUUGGACCUUGGUCAGUUGGUCCUCGAAAUCGUUGCCCGCUAACCCAGUUCUGAAUCGGCAGUAGGAGAUUUUGGAUCUGCUCUUGUCACGAAGGUUAGAGGCUUUGGCUUCUGAGGCUUUGAAUUGGAAGGAAAUGUGAGAGAGUUGGGGAAUUGCAGUGAGGAGAUGGAAUGGCCCCCAUGGAAGGUGACACAUGAGCUUGAGGAUAAACUCACCCCUCUGUGCUUGCUAUCACCGUUUGGACCUUAUAUUGCUGCUUUUUCUUUUUGUAUUUUUUUUACAUUCUUUAAGUUAAUGGGUUUCUUUCUUUCUCUUUUUUUUAUUUGAAUAAAAUAAAUUAAUGAUUUCUAUUUGUUUUGUUAUAUUUUUGUAUAUAUAUGUGCGUAUAUUACAUAGGUCCUUAUAAUUUUGAAAAUUGAUUGUUUUUGUUUAACCUUUUUUAAUCUCAUUUUUUAAUACCAUUGCAGGCCAUGUUUACCAAUCCAUAAUGGAUGUAUAUAUAUCGAUAAAAUCAACAACUUUCACUGGGAAAAAAAUGAAAGAAUACAGGGUAUACGAAAACACAAGCCCACCCAAGCGACCUCCUAAAGAAAGGGUUCCAUCUAAGCAAAAUAUUAUCUAGUGAGUAGUUAUACAAAGGUUUUGAGUUCAAGCCCAAAGUGAAACCCGAAGCCUCACUAAUAACCAAACCUACUAGGGUGGUUAUCCAAACCUCUAAAAAUCCUAUUGCUUCUCUCCCCCCAAAUGUCCCACAACACAGCACAUCUCGGAAAACACAACAAACAGCCUCUCUCUGGAAAGCAAAUGGAGGACGAACUCCCUGAUCAUUGCCCGAAUACCCCUCUGGUGAUAAUUAGAACGCCAAACUUUUGCAUGAAACAAAUCCACACAGACAUUGCACAUUGACAUCCCCAAAGAAGGUGAUCUAGGUUUUCCUCUACCUCCUGACAGAGAAUACAACAGAAAGGACCUAUUAAUGGGGCCAUUUUCCAGUAAGCCUAUCAAAAAUGUUCAUAUGACCAAGUAGAACCAGCCAGGUGAUGAACCCAACUUUCUUUGGGUAUCUUAAUCCUCCUGACUGCAUCAAAGACUGAGUCACAAACAGGAAAGGGAACCAACAGCAACAUAAAGAAAGAAUAUUAGUGUCAUCGGUAAUUGGAGUUCAUUGAUAGAUCAAUUGUAACGAGUCACAACCACAAAUGUAUGUGGAUGCUUUUGAUUAUGUUUACCUAGAAUUAUGAAUAUGUCACAUUUACUAUUGUCUUGCAGAACUGAGACAUUGACUCAAUCUAGUGUUGCCAAGGUUCGUCGAUCUUCAUGCUCCUUCCAACACAGUUAAGCUCUGUUCCAGAUCUAAGAGUUGUUCUCCUCACAAUCAUUUCUCUCAAAUCUGUUCAUGAACUCCGUGAAUGGGAAGAUCUCUAGUCAUGGCACAAGUAGUUCUGCAUUGUCAAACAAAAACCAAGACAGUGUUUCUGACGAGAAGAAAGGAAAGUCUGAUACUGAUUCAUCAUCUGUCCAGAGCUUGGAACAGCAGGAGUCAAGUUUCAAGAACUCAGUUUGGGAGGAUAUGCUUGUAUCAAGUCUUGCUUCAUCUUAUUGGAAGCCUAUGCUUGAAUAAGACCCUUAUAUUUCUUUGAGGCUGUUGAUUGUAAUGAUAACAAUGUAGAAGAAAACUAUCCAUGAAGAUAGGGAGGUUCAGGAAACAAUGCAGGAAACUGAAAUAGAGGUCCAUGUAUAUGAGAAAAGAAAAAUUGAGCCUUGA
RNA transcript from Cucumis sativus (cucumber), 6333 nucleotides. RefSeq lists it as uncharacterized. The record is from RefSeq and is a predicted model, not a curated record. NCBI's taxonomy places the organism in Eukaryota, Viridiplantae, Streptophyta, Magnoliopsida, Cucurbitales, Cucurbitaceae. The transcript is spliced from 5 exons.